GACUGCCGAUGACAAAUCGGAGGAAGGUGGGGAUGACGUCAAAUCAUCAUGCCCUUUAUGUCCUGGGCUACACACGUGCUACAAUGGUCGGUACAACGAGAAGCAAGUCAGCGAUGGCAAGCAAAUCUACUAAAAGCCGAUCCCAGUUCGGAUUGCAGGCUGCAACUCGCCUGCAUGAAGUCGGAGUUGCUAGUAAUCGCGGAUCAGAAUGCCGCGGUGAAUGCGUUCCCGGGGUCUU
Molecule: ribosomal RNA, 238 nt
Filed under: uncultured Eubacteriales bacterium
Lineage: Bacteria; Bacillati; Bacillota; Clostridia; Eubacteriales
Description: uncultured Clostridiales bacterium partial 16S ribosomal RNA
Rfam family: Bacterial small subunit ribosomal RNA
Source: RNAcentral